GAGUCAGAAGCAACUGAACUUUUUGUUGAAGUGAGAUAGUACCCUCAUUGAUAUUGUUUUGUUUUGUGGCACUGGGCUUUGACCAGGCACCUAACCUCCCCCUUAUCUUCGUUUUCCUCCAGGGCCCGCAACAACAGCUUCCUGGCCAAGGUGAUCCCUGCAUGCCAUGGGCUCCGGGAGCCAGACCACCCCGCGGAGCUGAAGCCCCCUCCUCCCUGCGCCUGGCCCUGCUCCAGGUAAGGAGCAGAGGCUGUGGAAGCAGAGGCUGGAUGGCCAUCUGUCGGGGGUGCUUUGAAUGCGAUUUCCUGCUUCUUGGCAGGGGGUUGGACUGGAUGGCCCAUGAGGUCUCUUCCAACUCUACUAUUCUAUGAUUCUAUGAUAAACCAAGAGGAGGAACAGCAGGGCUGCCGUAGUGCUAAAUUCCAGGAUCUCAACCUCAGCCACCAGAAAAGCAAAGUACAACUUCCCUCAAUCUGGACCAGGCAUGGGCCAACUUUGGCCCUCCCUCCGGGUGUUUUGGACUUCAACUCCCACAAUUCCUAACAGCCGGUAGGAAUUGUGUCCCAGCCAGUUUCUCUUCCUCCCUGCAGAACAUUUCCAGGCGGCUGAACAGUGAGAAGCUAUCAGAUGCUUCCAGCCUGGAGAUCCUGAUGCCGCGGCCCAGCCGGAUCCCCAUCCGCAGGAAGCCGGCCGGGCAGACCCAGCACCUGGUCCAGCUCCAGAGCUGCAUGGAUGACUCUGCCCUCAAGGUCUGGAAACUGAACACCUCUCAGUUGCCAACACAGAGUUCCCUGCCAGAGUUCCCGCUGGAGGUGCCCGACCUGACAGUCGCGGGGCAGAGAGAGGAGCCUCUUUUUCUCUGCGACCCUCCCAAGGUUUUGCUGGACGAGCAUCUCGCGGGGCAGGCAGACUCCCCGCAGCUCACCUACCACAAGAUCCUCUCCUUCUGCACCGAGGCCUGACUGGCCGGGAGGGGCAAGGGUGCGGCGGCCGGCCACCUCCGCCUCCACCUCCACGGGCACCGCCACCAGCAGCACCGCCCCGGAGCCAGAACCGGCCCCCCCUGCGGCGGCCCUGCGGACGACGGCGCCCUGCCCCUCCGCCUCCCCCCAGCGCCACCCUCCUCUUGGCCCCCUCCCGCGCCCCCAGCCCUGCCUCUUCAAGCCCAAGCGGCUCUUUGGGACCCCGGAGCCCCUGCUCCUGGCGCUUGGCCGCCUCCCCACGUUUAAGGCCCCCAGGCCCCCAACGUGCAGACCGCCUCCGAAGACACCCAAGGCCUGAAGGGGAGCGGCGGGGCGGCAGGGCCCUCACCCCUUCCUCGUUGCCCUCCUGGGGGGCCCGGCCCCGCAUCUCCUCUCUCUCGACUCUGUCCUGCCUCAAGGAUCCGACAGCUGCCUUCCUUUCUCUCCUGCCUGAGAUGCCGGGAGUCCGCCCGCCGGCCACUCUUGGGCAGCCUGCCUCCCGACCAGCAGCCUUGGGAAGUGGGGUUCGGGGGUUCACAACACGGCAAAGCAAGCCUGCCCAGCCCAGCCCUUCCCCUCCCGGGCCCUUUCUGCAGCUGUACAUAGUUGAUUCCUGGGCCGGAGACUUAUUUUUGAAAUGA
RNAcentral lists this long non-coding RNA (1603 nucleotides) under Anolis carolinensis (green anole). Its description in RNAcentral is "lncRNA (ENSACAG00000040894.1)". Lineage: Eukaryota; Metazoa; Chordata; Lepidosauria; Squamata; Anolidae. The record is from RNAcentral.